This 789-nucleotide ribosomal RNA is filed under the name Zoophthora porteri. RNAcentral's name for it is "LSU rRNA". It matches the Rfam family "Eukaryotic large subunit ribosomal RNA", at positions 81 to 820 of the family's 3401-position model. Lineage: Eukaryota; Fungi; Entomophthoromycota; Entomophthoromycetes; Entomophthorales; Entomophthoraceae. The record is from RNAcentral.
UAGUAAUGGCGAAUGAACAGGGAAAAGCCCAAUUUUAAAAUCACUUGACUGUGAAUUGUAGUUUAUAGGAGGGUAGAACUGUACUGCCUUGUUAAGUCUCUUGAAAAGGAGCUACAGAGAGGGUGAAAUCCCCGUUUUGGCGCAAGUAGUAGUAUAGAACUUAACUCUAAAGAGUCAUGUUGCUUGAGAAUGCAGCAUAAAAUGGGUGGUAAAUUCCAUCUAAGGCUAAAUAUUGGUAAGAGACCGAUAGCAAACAAGUACCGUAAGGGAAAGAUGAAAGAGAACCUUGAAAAGGGGCUCAAAAGAAAGUGAAAUUGUUUCAAGGAAAGCGUUUAAAGCUUUUAAAACAUGGGCAUCAAUUAGAGGGGAGCAAGCCCUUUGUUAUUGAUGCAUGUGUGGCUAUUGCUCUGGUUUGAGCUUAUGAGGGCUAAAGGGAAGGUAUUUUGAGAUUGCGCUCGAUUUCUUACAGGCCUUUUAGCAAUGUAAAGUUUGGGCCAGUGGUAAAAGUCAUAUGGUGGCGCUCUUGGGGUUAAUGUUGCAGUAGACUUGCCUAGAGUAAUGUUUGCCCUUGGGCCUAGAACUGCUAGAUGCUUAAAUAGUCAUAAAGACUUAAACGACCCGUCUUGAAACACGGACCAAGGAGUCUAACAUAGAUGCAAGUAAUAGGGCUUAAAGCCAAUGCGCAAUGAAAGUGAUUUCAGGGUAGGAACCUGCAAAGGCGCACUAUCAACUGAGCUAUAGGGAUUCUUUCCUGCGGCUUGAGUGAGAGCAUCUAUGUUGGUACCCGAA